Molecule: ribosomal RNA, 440 nt
Filed under: uncultured bacterium
Lineage: Bacteria
Description: partial 16S ribosomal RNA
Rfam family: Bacterial small subunit ribosomal RNA
Source: RNAcentral
CCUACGGGAGGCAGCAGUGGGGAAUAUUGCACAAUGGGGGAAACCCUGAUGCAGCGACGCCGCGUGAGUGAUGAAGUAUUUCGGUACGUAAAGCUCUAUCAGCAGGGAAGAAAAUGACGGUACCUGACUAAGAAGCCCUGGCUAACUACGUGCCAGCAGCCGCGGUAAUACGUAGGGGGCAAGCGUUAUCCGGAUUUACUGGGUGUAAAGGGAGCGUAGACGGCAGCGCAAGUCUGGAGUGAAAUCCCUGGGCUUAACCAUGGAACUGCUUUUGAAACUGUGCAGCUGGAGUGUAGGAGAGGUAAGCGGAAUUCCUAGUGUAGCGGUGAAAUGCGUAGAUAUUAGGAGGAACACCAGUGGCGAAGGCGGCUUACUGGACUGUAACUGACGUUGAGGCUCGAAAGCGUGGGGAGCAAACAGGAUUAGAUACCCUAGUAGUC